CCUACGGGGGGCAGCAGUGGGGAAUAUUGGGCAAUGGGCGCAAGCCUGACCCAGCAACGCCGCGUGAAGGAAGAAGGCUUUCGGGUUGUAAACUUCUUUUCGCAGGGACGAAGAAAGUGACGGUACCGGAGGAAUAAGCCACGGCUAACUACGUGCCAGCAGCCGCGGUAAUACGUAGGUGGCAAGCGUUAGCCGGAUUUACUGGGUGUAAAGGGCGUGUAGGCGGGAAAGCAAGUCAGAUGUGAAAACCCUGGGCUCAACCUGUGGCCUGCAUUUGAAACUGUUUUUCUUGAGUACUGGAGAGGCAGCCGGAAUUCCUCGUGUAGCGGUGAAAUGCGUAGAUAUGAGGAGGAACACCAGUGGCGAAGGCGGUCUGCUGGACAGCACCUGACGCUGAGGCGCGAAAGCGUGGGGAGCAAACAGGAUUAGAUACCCGAGUAGUC
This 443-nucleotide ribosomal RNA is filed under the name uncultured bacterium. RNAcentral describes it as "partial 16S ribosomal RNA". It matches the Rfam family "Bacterial small subunit ribosomal RNA", at positions 338 to 795 of the family's 1533-position model. The record is from RNAcentral.